RNAcentral lists this ribosomal RNA (274 nucleotides) under uncultured bacterium. RNAcentral's name for it is "partial 16S ribosomal RNA". It matches the Rfam family "Bacterial small subunit ribosomal RNA", at positions 523 to 796 of the family's 1533-position model. The record is from RNAcentral.
AUACGGAGGGGGCAAGCGUUGUUCGGAAUUACUGGGCGUAAAGAGUACGUAGGCGGAUCGUUAAGUUAGAGGUGAAAUCCCAGGGCUCAACCCUGGAACUGCCUUUAAUACUGGCGAUCUAGAGAUCGAGAGAGGUGAGUGGAAUUUCCAGUGUAGAGGUGAAAUUCGUAGAUAUUGGAAAGAACACCAGUGGCGAAGGCGGCUCACUGGCUCGAUACUGACGCUGAGGUACGAAAGCGUGGGGAGCAAACGGGAUUAGAUACCCUAGUAGUCC